UACCUUGAUGAAGAAACAGUAUCAAUGCCAAAAUAAGGGUUCAUCAGUGGGAACGAUUAGGACACCUAAUAUGGAGACAUUAGCAAUGUCAAAACAAAGGCAUAGUGGUGGCUAUGAUUCCAUACAGGUGGUGACAGAAAUGAGCAGAAAAAAAUGAAGGAGAUUUUGUUUGGCAGUGAUUUUAUUACAAGAUCAACCCUGAAAAAGGAGAGAAGUUCCAAAGAAAAUCUCCGAAUAGACUAAACUGAAAACUUUUAGUGAGGAAAGACUUGAAAGAAGGAGCCUUCUUUAAGUCCUGGCUUAAAUCCUACCUUCUACAACAACCCUUUCCGGAUCCACCUUAUUGUUUGGAAACAUCAUGGAUCAAUACAACUGUUUCCCCACUCUAAGCACAACAGUAUAUUGAAAUCUGCACUUACGCAACAGGGAUGUGGAAUGGAUCAGGGGUUCAAACAGACAAGAACCUUAGAUUCUGGGUCCCAUCAGGCCUCCUGACUUUACUCAUCCUGAACCAUCGCUUCCAAAACAGUACCAUCUCAGAGGACAUUGACACAGCAGUCAAGUUCAGUGGGACUGGAGUUGCCACUGUGGGAGUAGCUGGCUCUGGGGCCGGUAUUGGGGCUGCAUUGGGGACUUUCAUCAUUGGUUAUGCCAGGAACCCCUCCUUGAAGCAGCAGCUCCUCUCCAAUGCUAUCCUUGGUUUUGCUGUGUCUGAGGCCAUAGGAAUUGUUUUUUUUUACAUGGUGGUGGUCUUCCUCACUCUCUUCAACAUGCAAAGUAGCUGUUUCUGCUCAUCGCCAUUUCUCCUGCUCCUCCUAUGUCUUGUCUACCCUGUAGGUGCCUUCCCCUUUUCCUCUCCAGAUAGCCCUGGGUAAAGCCCCUGGCUCUGGGUUUGACAGAAGGAAGACAAAUAAAUUCUAUAAGCUGUUAAAAAAAUCGUGACCACUGUCAUGCCACAAGGAGACAUUAAAUAUACCACUUUAGUGGAGGGUUAUAUCAAUAAGCCAAGAAUCUGUAUAAGUUAUUAACUAUAUUCAGAACUAAGAAAUGAAGAAGAUCAAAGACUUGUAGGCCACAUAUAAGUCUUAAGUUUACAUGACAUGAAUAUGCCCAUUUUCCUAGCUUGUCAAAUCUAUCCCUCUACCUAACCUUGUUACUUCUUUUGAGGGUACCACAAUCUUUCCCGUCACAGGUUUGUGACUUCAUAGUCAUGACUGAUUCUGAUUCUUCACUUUACCUCAAUUUCAUCACUCCAUAUCUAACCUGUUGCCAAGACUUGCCCAUUCUACCUUCAUACCAUCUCUGUCAUUUGUCUUUUCUCCACUCUGCUAAAAUUCUAGUUCAGGCUUUUACAUUUCUGGUCUGAAUGAUAUAUUGUGUAGUCUACUAAUUGGUCCCCUAUCUUCCAGUCUCUUCCCCCUCUAAUCCAUAUUUCACUCAGUUGCCAAACUGAUAUUCUUAAAGCUUUCAGACCUAACUGAUUAAUAACAAUUCAUACCACCCCCCCAAUUGUACUCAAUAAGCUUCGGUGGCUGCUAAAUCUAUAUCCCAAAGAUGUAAAAAAGGAGGGGGGAAGGAUCUAUUUAUGCAAAAGUAUUUGUAGCAGUUCUU
Molecule: long non-coding RNA, 1611 nt
Organism: Trichosurus vulpecula (common brushtail)
Lineage: Eukaryota; Metazoa; Chordata; Mammalia; Diprotodontia; Phalangeridae
Exons: 4
Source: RefSeq, a predicted model, not a curated record